Molecule: unclassified non-coding RNA, 188 nt
Filed under: Bunodosoma granuliferum
Lineage: Eukaryota; Metazoa; Cnidaria; Anthozoa; Actiniaria; Actiniidae
Description: internal trasncribed spacer 1
Source: RNAcentral
CCGAUCGCGUUCUACACCUAGAACACCGUGAACCGUAUGGAGAGUUGGGGGUCGUCCCGUCGAGGACGUCAAACGAUGAGAGCGCCUCUCCCCGGGGUUGAUUCUCACGGCCCCCACGUUAAUUUUUUUUUCCUACCAACACCUUUACUGCAGAAAGCUUGUCCGAACGGACAAAAAACUAAAAGUUC